CCAAAACUUGAAUCCCGAUAGGCA
Molecule: non-coding RNA, 24 nt
Filed under: Drosophila melanogaster (fruit fly)
Lineage: Eukaryota; Metazoa; Arthropoda; Insecta; Diptera; Drosophilidae
Source: RNAcentral